GAAUCCAGCCGUUUUUUUCUAGCUUCCAGAUUGCCUAGUCGAGCAAAGCGGGCGGGAAGCAACUUCAAACAAACAAGAGCCAACAGAAAGCCUCAGCAAGAAGUCACCGACUUCGUGGAGUAGUCUGCAUCAUUACACUUGCCACUUACUGUUGCUGGUCCAAGAAUGAUCUGGAACUGUAAGUUGUGCACAGCUUCUUUCACUUCCAGAAUAGAGUUAUUUAGACACUACAGGCUGCAGCAUAGCCACUACUCUACAAUCAGCCCUCUUCCAUGCCUCUACACAGACUGCAUAUGUACAUUUCAGACACUUAGUGCAUUGAGUACUCAUUUGUCAAGAUAUCACACAGCACAACCUAUCAGUUCCAAAGAGCAGAGUCAGGGGCCUGUGGUAUUUAAAUGCCCUUUAUGCACAUAUCAGCAAACCUUUUCUAAAGCAGAUGUGUUCAGUCAUCUCAGAAAGCAUUUAAAAAAUCAUGAAACAGUGAUGUGCCCAUAUAAGGAUUGUAGCUAUCGCACAAAUGUGUACUCCUCAUUCAAUUCUCAUAAAAGUAGGGAACACCAAGCAGGUCUUGAGUCAGACUUUCAAACUGAUAUUGUCAGCGAGCUUCCCUACAAUCUUCAUGCCAAUAUUUCUGAGGAAGCUAGUGAUUUGCAUGAGGAAUGCCCUGGCCCAAGCAGAGAAGUGGGGGAGGAUAAUCAGUGUGACACUGGCAGUCUAAGAAAUCAACUAAAAUGUAUCUUCCUUGUUCCUUAAGAUGCAGGCUAUCCUUCACGUCUCAAAUACAGCUACUCAGGAAAUAGUAGACCACUUGAAUCAGAUAUUUUCCUUAUCUGAGCCGUUGAUCAAAGAGGCAGUUAGUGAUGUACUGCAAAGAAAUGGUCACAGUAUUGCAGAACCUACACUGAGUGAAGUUGUUGCCGCUGUCAUGGACUGCAAUGUCCUGUCUACAUCAACCUGUAAAGGUGCAGAGUUGAGUUCAUACAAGCGCAGAAAAACGUUUAUUGAGCGCAACUAUCCUUGUGUAAUGCCAGUGGAGUACCAAUUGGAGGAACCUGGACAUACCAGCAUGUACGUUCCUAUUCUUUCAAUGAUUCAAGAGUUGUUUAAAAACACAGACAUUCUUAGUAAGAUUACUGAAACAAAUACUGCAUCUGAUCAAUAUGUAUCAUGCUCCAAUGGCUCUCAUUUCCUUGAAAAUGAGUUGCUGUCAACAGGGGAUCUCAACCUUCCACUCCAGCUAUAUAUUGAUGACCUUGAAAUUUGCAAUCCGCUUGGCACAUCGCGCAAAAUUCACAAAUUUUGCGCUGUAUAUUGGGUCCUCGCUAAUGUGCCACCAAAAUACAGAUCAGCAUUACAUACUAUACAGCUAGCACUACUGGUAAAAGUGACAGAUGUCCGUAAGUAUGGAUAUGCAGCUGUACUUGCUCCAUUGCUGCAUGAUAUUCAUACUCUGGAAAAAGAUGGUGUCUUCAUCGAAAGAGUGGGUCAGAAUGUCAAAGGCACAGUCUUUUGUGUUUCUUCAGACAAUUUGGCUGCUCAUGGAUUAGGGGGCUUUGUAGAGUCAUUUAGAACAGGCCAUGUUUGCAGAUUCUGUGUGGGCUCCGUUGAACAGUUUCAAGUAGCUGAAGUCAGAGAGGGAAAGUUUCCUCAGAGAACCAAAGCUAGCCAUGACCUACAUGUUCAAACUGUGCAAGAAAGUGACACUUUGAGAAGCCACUUUGGUGUUAAAGGUGGCUGUGCCUUGCAAGAAUCCCUGAGUUACUUCCAUACAAUCACAGGGUUUCCUCCUGAUAUACUACAUGAUCUUCUGGAAGGUAUCGUUCCCAUGGAGCUUUCUCUUUGUAUUAAAGAGAUGAUCCGGCUGAAGUACUUCAGUUUGGAGUACUUGAACAACAAGAUUACGUCAUUCCCAUAUCAGCACACUGAUAAAGUGGAUAGACCUCAGCCACUUCCCAAAACGUUUCUUUCUCGAGGAACGAUUGGAGGUAAUGGUCAUGAAAAUGCCACUCUGCUCCGACUUUUUCCAUUGCUUGUUAGCAGUGUAGUACCAGAAGGUGAUAAGGCAUGGGCUGUUUUGAUGGAGCUGAAAGAGGUGGUAGAGUUAGCAUUGUGCCCAUCAUUUACAGAUGAGACCUUAGACUAUUUUGAGUGCAAAAUCAGUGAUCAUAGACAGGCACUUCUUGAGGUUUUCCCUGAGGUUAGGCUCCGUCCUAAACACCAUUUUGUGGAGCACUAUCCUGCUCUAGUCAAGUGCUUUGGGCACCUGCUGCACGUUUGGACCAUGCGUUUUGAGGCCAAGCACCGCUUUUUCAAAAGAGUGGUGCAUGACGCUCAAAACUUCAAAAAUAUUUUGAAGACAAUGGCAAUCCGACACCAACACAUGAUGGCAUAUCAUCUUGCUGCACCAUCAUUUUUCAGGCCAAAAACUCAGGCAUCCAGCAUUGAAUCUGUUCUGGUUUCAGCUCUACCAGAGGUUGCUCAAGUGCACAUUAGAGAACAAACAACUAGUGAUACAAUCUACAAGACAUCAAAUGUGACUGUUGAUGGCACAGACUAUGUCUGUGGAAUGUUUCUGUCUGUAGGAGUCAGCGGUGGACUGUCAACAUUUUGCAAAAUAGAACAGAUCUUCCUUGUAAAUCACAAUGUAUCUUUUCUCUGUUGUGAUUAUGACUCCUGGUAUGUAGAACAUCUACGGUCCUAUGAGCUGACAACUGCAAACACAAGCCUGUCGAUCCACCUGCAGUCUGGUCUGAAUGAUGCAGUCCCUCUUCCAGCAUACAAGAUAGGCGGCUCGCUACUGCUAACCCUGAAGCGGUUCAUUCAAGUGAGACAGAACUAAGCACAAUGGCAGCUGCAUCCCCUGAACCAAUGAUUCUACGUGUUGUUCAACCAGACCAGGCUAGAAAAUUAAAACUCAGCUCACGACCAGCCUCUGUUGAUGCACUGAUCAAUAUUCUAAAAGAACAGCUGGACAUUGACCUUGACUUUGAUUUACUUUAUGAAGAUCCAGACUUCGAUGGAAAACUUACAUCCCUGAACGACAUUGAGGAAUUGCCACAAAAAGCAGUUGUGCACAUUUCACUUUCACAAGACUCCAGCUCUCUGCUUUCAGAUGUGUCCUCUCCAGAGCGUCUCAGCAGGUGGCCUACGGGACCUUUUCCAGUUCCCACCUUUGAUUUUGAUGUUGAGGUGGAACUUAGAGAUGGGAAUGCGGAAUAUGAGAAGAACCACACACCCCUUAAAGUGACAAGAGACCUAAAGCAUGACAUUUUAGAAAAGCUUGCAUCUACUAUAUAUGGUUUUAAGGCUUACCCAAGUGAUGAAGACAUUGCAAUGGCUGCUGAGGCUCUUGUAGCCAAACAUCCCUGCCUGAAGGAAGCAGGAUCUGAGACUGGCUGGAAUGGAUGGAAAUGCAACCUCAAGUUCAAAAUGGGCAAUUACAGGAUCAAGAUGAGGCGUGCUGGCUGUCAGGAGGUCCUGCACAGACGAGUCUGAUAAACCAGUGGGCCUCCUUGCGGUCAUCAGUGACCAUGACGCAGUCUAAAGUCCAGUUCACUACCAACCUGUGAGAGUCUCUGUCGUCAUUGAAAGUGAUGCCGGUGUCAGCCUCCCCAGACUUGGCGACGCCUUCCUGGUAAUCUUUGGACUGAUCUAUGCACUACACCUCAGCUAUCCCAAAGCACUGACCAACACUUUGAAUUUAUUCAAAAGAUUUCACUUUGUUUUUUAAAGAAGGCUGCAGGGUUACCAGACUAGUUCCGUUUUUCUUUUGUCUGCUUACUGUAAUGCCUACUAAGUUACUGCACUACUCUACAGGUGUUAAGCUAAUAGGCCCAAAAAACACAAUAUGCAUUGGUUCUCAUUAAAGUGAUGGUUUGGACUAAAAUUCACCCUAGGUUAAUUGCACCGUGACAACCAGUCAAAAACAUUGGCACUAAGGUAACAUGUAUAUCUGGUAAAUUACACCACUAAUAAUUCCUGGAAUGUUACCACACUUCUUCAGUAGUACACAUGGGGUCUGUACUUGUGAACCAAGGCAUUGGAAUGUUUGUAAGUAUACCUUUUGUUAAAAAUAGCACUUGCCUACUAGUUUCUGAUCUUAUGCUGCUAGCUACCGUUGUGCACUGCUUUUACUCACUUUUUCUGAAACAAGGAAGUGGUGUCUGCGCAGCGGAAGAUAGCAGUAGCAGAGAGAAGAAACUAUCAGGGAAGUGCUAUUUUUAAUAAAAAUCUGAUAUACUUACGAACUUUCCAAUGCCUCGGUUUAUGAUGACUUAUGGACCCCAGGUGUACUACUGAAGAAGUGUGGUAACAUUCCAGGCAUUAUUAGUGGGGUAAUUUACUAGAUAUAUGCGUUACAUUAACGCCAAUACUAACCUAAUCAGCGACUAGACCUAACACGAAUGUUCGACCAUUGCUAAAAAAAAAAAAAAAAAAACUUAUGAGGGGGUAUUAUCGUGCAAUUAACCUAGGGUUAAUUUGACUCCAAACCAUCGCUUUAAUAUAAUGCUGAAAUAAGGCUACUGUUUUUGUAUGCUUUAUUGUUUUUCUCAACUGUGGGCUGCGCAAGGUGACUCAAAUUACACUGCAUUUGAGGGGUUAUACAUUUGCAUGUUAAACAUUUAAAAUAACUGUUCUUGAAGUCUAUAGAAUUUGUGAUUUCUUCUAAAUUACUGCCCUGUUGCCCUACUCAGGAAUUAAGCCAAAAGCACACUGGUGUUCUUUUAAAGCUGCA
This is an RNA transcript of Alosa sapidissima (American shad), 4738 nucleotides long. RefSeq lists it as uncharacterized. The record is from RefSeq and is a predicted model, not a curated record. Lineage: Eukaryota; Metazoa; Chordata; Actinopteri; Clupeiformes; Clupeidae. The transcript is spliced from 4 exons.